ACGCUGGCGGCGUGCUUAACACAUGCAAGUCGAACGCUGAAGCCCAGCUUGCUGGGUGGAUGAGUGGCGAACGGGUGAGUAACACGUGAGUAACCUGCCCCCUUCUUUGGGAUAACGCCCGGAAACGGGUGCUAAUACUGGAUAUUCACUGAUCUUCGCAUGGGGGUUGGUGGAAAGGUUUUUUCUGGUGGGGGAUGGGCUCGCGGCCUAUCAGCUUGUUGGUGGGGUGAUGGCCUACCAAGGCUUUGACGGGUAGCCGGCCUGAGAGGGUGACCGGUCACAUUGGGACUGAGAUACGGCCCAGACUCCUACGGGAGGCAGCAGUGGGGAAUAUUGCACAAUGGGCGAAAGCCUGAUGCAGCGACGCCGCGUGAGGGAUGACGGCCUUCGGGUUGUAAACCUCUUUCGCUCAUGGUCAAGCCGCAGCUUUGGGUUGUGGUGAGGGUAGUGGGUAAAGAAGCGCCGGCUAACUACGUGCCAGCAGCCGCGGUAAUACGUAGGGCGCGAGCGUUGUCCGGAAUUAUUGGGCGUAAAGGGCUUGUAGGCGGUUGGUCGCGUCUGCCGUGAAAUCCUCUGGCUUAACUGGGGGCGUGCGGUGGGUACGGGCUGACUUGAGUGCGGUAGGGGAGACUGGAACUCCUGGUGUAGCGGUGGAAUGCGCAGAUAUCAGGAAGAACACCGGUGGCGAAGGCGGGUCUCUGGGCCGUUACUGACGCUGAGGAGCGAAAGCGUGGGGAGCGAACAGGAUUAGAUACCCUGGUAGUCCACGCUGUAAACGUUGGGCACUAGGUGUGGGGGCCACCCGUGGUUUCUGCGCCGUAGCUAACGCUUUAAGUGCCCCGCCUGGGGAGUACGGCCGCAAGGCUAAAACUCAAAGGAAUUGACGGGGGCCCGCACAAGCGGCGGAGCAUGCGGAUUAAUU
Molecule: ribosomal RNA, 922 nt
Filed under: uncultured bacterium
Lineage: Bacteria
Description: bacterial SSU rRNA
Rfam family: Bacterial small subunit ribosomal RNA
Source: RNAcentral